UGGGGAAUUGUUCACAAUGGGCGCAAGCCUGAUGACGCAACGCCGCGUGGAGGAUGAAGAUCUUCGGGUCGUAAACUCCUUUCGAUCGAGACGAAUGGCUCCCGUGCUAAUCAACGGGAGAAUGACGGUACCGAGAGAAGAAGCCCCGGCUAACUCCGUGCCAGCAGCCGCGGUAAUACGGGGGGGGCAAGCGUUGUUCGGAAUUACUGGGCGUAAAGGGCUCGUAGGCGGCCAACUAAGUCAGACGUGAAAUCCCUCGGCUUAACCGGGGAACUGCGUCUGAUACUGGAUGGCUUGAGGUUGGGAGAGGGAUGCGGAAUUCCAGGUGUAGCGGUGAAAUGCGUAGAUAUCUGGAGGAACACCGGUGGCGAAGGCGGCAUCCUGGACCAAUUCUGACGCUGAGGAGCGAAAGCCAGGGGAGCAAACGG
RNAcentral lists this ribosomal RNA (428 nucleotides) under uncultured bacterium. RNAcentral's name for it is "bacterial SSU rRNA". It matches the Rfam family "Bacterial small subunit ribosomal RNA", at positions 355 to 775 of the family's 1533-position model. The record is from RNAcentral.